Molecule: ribosomal RNA, 484 nt
Filed under: uncultured bacterium
Lineage: Bacteria
Description: partial 16S ribosomal RNA
Rfam family: Bacterial small subunit ribosomal RNA
Source: RNAcentral
AUUGAACGCUGGCGGCAGGCCUAACACAUGCAAGUCGAGCGGAUGAAGGGAGCUUGCUCCUGGAUUCAGCGGCGGACGGGUGAGUAAUGCCUAGGAAUCUGCCUGGUAGUGGGGGAUAACGUCCGGAAACGGGCGCUAAUACCGCAUACGUCCUGAGGGAGAAAGUGGGGGAUCUUCGGACCUCACGCUAUCAGAUGAGCCUAGGUCGGAUUAGCUAGUUGGUGGGGUAAAGGCCUACCAAGGCGACGAUCCGUAACUGGUCUGAGAGGAUGAUCAGUCACACUGGAACUGAGACACGGUCCAGACUCCUACGGGAGGCAGCAGUGGGGAAUAUUGGACAAUGGGCGAAAGCCUGAUCCAGCCAUGCCGCGUGUGUGAAGAAGGUCUUCGGAUUGUAAAGCACUUUAAGUUGGGAGGAAGGGCAGUAAGUUAAUACCUUGCUGUUUUGACGUUACCAACAGAAUAAGCACCGGCUACCUUCGUG